UCCAGUUAAAAAGGAGCAAAGAACGAAAAAUUCAACUAACACAUUGAAAGACAACUUGCGCACCAAGAAAAGCCUAACUUACUAGACUCUAUACCCCUCUAUCCAUUUCCACCAUUUUUCUUCGGCCAAAGCACCCAAACCUUGGCGCCAUUCAAAUGCUAUAUAUUCUUCUCUUUUCUUCUUAACCAAUCCUUCCUAAAAAAACCCAACCUAUAUCAAUUACACAUGACUGAUCAGAGGAGAAGUAACCAAAAACAGGGGAGACUCUGUGAUUAUUGCAACCAAUCCAAAGCUCUUUUAUAUUGCAGAGCUGACUCCGCCAAGCUAUGUUUUUCUUGUGACAGGGAAGUUCACUCGGCUAACCAACUAUUCUCUAAGCACUCUCGGUCACAGCUCUGUGACGCUUGUGAUGGUUCCCCUGCUUCCAUCUUUUGCGAAACAGAGCAAUCGGUGUUUUGCUCCAACUGUGAUUGGGAAAGCCACAAGUUUUCGUCGUCUUCGUUGCAUAAUAGGAGGCCAAUAGAAGGGUUUACUGGGUGUCCUUCGGUGAAUGAGUUGGUGAGUAUUGUUGGGAUUGAGGAUUUGGGUGAAAAGAAAGGUGGUGAUGAUUGUGGAUAUGAUGAUGGGUGGUUGGAUUUGUUGAGCUGGGAAAAUCCGGUGAUUUCUAGCUUUGAUGAUUUGCUUGUUUCGAGUGAUUCUGAUCAUGGGUUUAAGCCAACUGAUGUUCUUCCUUUGCCCAAGAAUCGUAAUGCUAAUUGUGGACAACAUAAAGAGGAAGUACUUCAUCAACUACGUGAACUAGCAAAAUCUGAACCUAUCCUCAGCUUUGAUAAUACUGGUGAUUUGCAGACAGGAACUGUGCAUACAAGUUGCACAAAUGAUACAGCUCCAAUUCCAUUUCCUGCUUAUGAGUCAAGCGCACUACGGUUCUUCGGCGACAACGUUGAGAUGACCGACCAAGUUUUUGUGCCUUUCUCGGAAUUAAGAGGUCAUCCUGAGGAAUGUGCUGUGGUUCCUGAUAAACAUCUAGGUUCAAGUAGGACUAUACCUGUGAGUGAUAGUCUUGGGAACCAACAACAUCAAAUUGAUACUGGAACCGUGUCAGCACUUCCAAAGGUCGCUGUCCACGAGUUAAAUAGCCAGGAGAGAGACUCUGCGAUCUCGCGCUACAAGGAGAAAAGGAAAACAAGGAGAUUCGAUAAGCACAUCAGGUACGAAUCAAGAAAGGUUAGAGCCGAAAGCAGGACGAGAAUUAAAGGACGUUUUGCGAAGGUGGAGCAUUGAGAUUACUGGUAAACUACUUUUGAGACUGGAAUUGCUAUGAACAUGGAUCAUUUUUGUAACUAGAUAAUGUUUUCCUUUGUUCAUUCUUUGUUCCUUUGAAGCUAAAAUCUUAGUAAGAUGCAAGGUUUCUUGUAAAAUAUUGAAUUGUAAUACCUAUAAUUACAUCAUGUAGGCUAUUUUUUAACCUUUAAGCUGAUGGUUUGUGCAUUGAAAUGCUGAUUAUUGGCUACAGCAGUGAAAGCCCUUAUUUGGAAUCUUGGACUUUUUGCAAUCAUGUCAUGCAAAAUAAAACGAUGGUUGAAUAUGGCGUGUGCUAUGAGCCAAAUGCAAAACCAAAGACGCCAACAACCAUAUAAAACAAAAUCCGGUCUUUCUUCGAUUGGACAUGCGAGUUACCUUCUUGGCCUAAGAAACUGACAGCCAUUGCUGCCCUGUGGUGACGUCUAGGAUGACGAGAAAUAUUGCGGUCUUGUUUCUGGAAGUUUUGACCCACAGUGGUACUACUAGUAAUGCUGCUGUCAGUGCUGUGUAUUAAAAUGCCAUGGAAGCACCUUUAUUUCGAGUAUUCCAUUUUACUCUCUAUUAAAAAUAGACAAUUUAAUAAAUUAGUUUUGUAUGCCAACAUUAGAUAUAUGUGUCAUGUCAUAUAUCAUUAUUUAAUUAUUUUGUGAAUUAUAUAAUUUUUAAUAA
Gossypium arboreum is the source of this 1974-nucleotide RNA transcript. It is a transcript of the gene named zinc finger protein CONSTANS-LIKE 13, with no coding region annotated. NCBI's taxonomy places the organism in Eukaryota, Viridiplantae, Streptophyta, Magnoliopsida, Malvales, Malvaceae. The transcript is spliced from 5 exons. The record is from RefSeq and is a predicted model, not a curated record.